AGCAGCCGCGGUAAUUCCAGCUCCAAUAGCGUAUAUUAAAGUUGUUGCAGUUAAAAAGCUCGUAGUUGAAUUUCGGGACCAAUAUGUCGGUCGUGCUUCGGUACGUACUUGCAUUAUUGGUUUCUCCCUUCUGAAGAACCAUGAUGUCAUUAAUUUGGUGUCUUGGGGAAUCAGGACUGUUACUUUGAAAAAAUUAGAGUGUUUAAAGCAGGCUCACGCUUGAAUACAUUAGCAUGGAAUAAUGAAAUAGGACGUUCGAUCCUAUUUUGUUGGUUUCUAGGAUUGACGUAAUGAUUAAUAGGGAUAGUUGGGGGCAUUAGUAUUCAAUUGUCAGAGGUGAAAUUCUUGGAUUUAU
Molecule: ribosomal RNA, 355 nt
Filed under: uncultured Glomus
Lineage: Eukaryota; Fungi; Glomeromycota; Glomeromycetes; Glomerales; Glomeraceae
Description: SSU rRNA
Rfam family: Eukaryotic small subunit ribosomal RNA
Source: RNAcentral